This 254-nucleotide ribosomal RNA is filed under the name uncultured bacterium. RNAcentral describes it as "partial 16S ribosomal RNA". It matches the Rfam family "Bacterial small subunit ribosomal RNA", at positions 524 to 776 of the family's 1533-position model. The record is from RNAcentral.
UACGUAGGGGGCAAGCGUUUGUCCGGAAUCAUUGGGCGUAAAGAGCGUGUAGGCGGCCCGGUAAGUCCGCUGUGAAAGUCGGGGGCUCAACCCUCGAAAGCCGGUGGAUACUGUCGGGCUAGAGUGCGGGAGAGGCGAGUGGAAUUCCUGGUGUAGCGGUGAAAUGCGUAGAUAUCGGGAGGAACACCUGUGGCGAAAGCGGCUCACUGGACCAUAACUGACGCUGAUGCACGAAAGCUGGGGGAGCAAACAGG